RNAcentral lists this ribosomal RNA (458 nucleotides) under uncultured bacterium. RNAcentral describes it as "partial 16S ribosomal RNA". It matches the Rfam family "Bacterial small subunit ribosomal RNA", at positions 338 to 795 of the family's 1533-position model. The record is from RNAcentral.
CCUACGGGAGGCUGCAGUGAGGAAUAUUGGUCAAUGGUCGGGAGACUGAACCAGCCAAGCCGCGUGAGGGAUGAAGGUACAGAGUAUCGUAAACCUCUUUUGUCAGGGAACAAAGGCGGGGACGCGUCCCCGGAUGAGUGUACCUGAAGAAAAGCAUCGGCUAACUCCGUGCCAGCAGCCGCGGUAAUACGGGGGAUGCGAGCGUUAUCCGGAUUUAUUGGGUUUAAAGGGUGCGCAGGCGGUCUGUUAAGUCAGCGGUAAAAGCCCGGGGCGAAACCCCGGCCCGCCGUUGAAACUGGCAGUCUCGAGUGGGAGAGAAGUAUGCGGAAUGCGCGGUGUAGCGGUGAAAUGCAUAGAUAUCGCGCAGAACUCCGAUUGCGAAGGCAGCAUGCCGGCUCCACACUGACGCUGAGGCACGAAAGCGUGGGUAUCGAACAGGAUUAGAUACCCCGGUAGUC